Molecule: ribosomal RNA, 433 nt
Filed under: uncultured bacterium
Lineage: Bacteria
Description: partial 16S ribosomal RNA
Rfam family: Bacterial small subunit ribosomal RNA
Source: RNAcentral
AACGAACGCUGGCGGCAUGCCUAACACAUGCAAGUCGAACGAGACCUUCGGGUCUAGUGGCGCACGGGUGCGUAACGCGUGGGAAUCUGCCCUUCGGUUGGGAAUAGCUGAGAGAAAUUUCAGCUAAUACCUUAUAAUGUCUUCGGACCAAAGAUUUAUCGCCGAGGGAUGAGCCCGCGUAGGAUUAGGUAGUUGGUGGGGUAAUGGCCUACCAAGCCGACGAUCCUUAGCUGGUCUGAGAGGAUGAUCAGCCACACUGGGACUGAGACACGGCCCAGACUCCUACGGGAGGCAGCAGUGGGGAAUAUUGGACAAUGGGCGAAAGCCUGAUCCAGCAAUGCCGCGUGAGUGAUGAAGGCCUUAGGGUUGUAAAGCUCUUUUACCCGGGAUGAUAAUGACAGUACCGGGAGAAUAAGCUCCGGCUAACUCCGUG